RNAcentral lists this ribosomal RNA (549 nucleotides) under uncultured bacterium. Its description in RNAcentral is "bacterial SSU rRNA". It matches the Rfam family "Bacterial small subunit ribosomal RNA", at positions 356 to 896 of the family's 1533-position model. The record is from RNAcentral.
AGGGAAUCUUCCGCAAUGGACGCAAGUCUGACGGAGCAACGCCGCGUGAGUGAAGAAGGUUUUCGGAUCGUAAAACUCUGUUGUUAGAGAAGAACAAGUGCUAGAGUAACUGUUAGCGCCUUGACGGUAUCUAACCAGAAAGCCACGGCUAACUACGUGCCAGCAGCCGCGGUAAUACGUAGGUGGCAAGCGUUGUCCGGAUUUAUUGGGCGUAAAGCGAGCGCAGGCGGUUCCUUAAGUCUGAUGUGAAAGCCCCCGGCUCAACCGGGGAGGGUCAUUGGAAACUGGGGAACUUGAGUGCAGAAGAGGAGAGUGGAAUUCCAUGUGUAGCGGUGAAAUGCGUAGAUAUAUGGAGGAACACCAGUGGCGAAGGCGACUCUCUGGUCUGUAACUGACGCUGAGGCUCGAAAGCGUGGGUAGCAAACAGGAUUAGAUACCCUGGUAGUCCACGCCGUAAACGAUGAGUGCUAGGUGUUAGGCCCUUUCCGGGGCUUAGUGCCGCAGCUAACGCAUUAAGCACUCCGCCUGGGGAGUACGACCGCAAGGUUG